Molecule: ribosomal RNA, 497 nt
Filed under: uncultured bacterium
Lineage: Bacteria
Description: partial 16S ribosomal RNA
Rfam family: Bacterial small subunit ribosomal RNA
Source: RNAcentral
GAUGAACGCUGGCGGCGUGCCUAAUACAUGCAAGUCGAGCGAACGGACGAGAAGCUUGCUUCUCUGAUGUUAGCGGCGGACGGGUGAGUAACACGUGGAUAACCUACCUAUAAGACUGGGAUAACUUCGGGAAACCGGAGCUAAUACCGGAUAAUAUUUUGAACCGCAUGGUUCAAAAGUGAAAGACGGUCUUGCUGUUACUUAUAGAUGGAUCCGCGCUGCAUUAGCUAGUUGGUAAGGUAACGGCUUACCAAGGCAACGAUGCAUAGCCGAACUGAGAGGGUGAUCGGCCACACUGGAACUGAGACACGGUCCAGACUCCUACGGGAGGCAGCAGUAGGGAAUCCUCCGCAAUGGGCGAAAGCCUGACGGAGCAACGCCGCGUGAGUGAUGAAGGUCUUCGGAUCGUAAAACUCUGUUAUUAGGGAAGAACAUAUGUGUAAGUACCUGUGCACAUCUUGACGGUACCUAAUCAGAAAGCCACGGCUAACUACGUG